RNAcentral lists this long non-coding RNA (2128 nucleotides) under Olea europaea subsp. europaea. The record is from RNAcentral. Lineage: Eukaryota; Viridiplantae; Streptophyta; Magnoliopsida; Lamiales; Oleaceae.
CCCAUUUUUGUGAAGUCAAUAUACCAGUAAUGAUCUAUGGCGACGAAGUUGAAGUACUGUGUGGUAAUCUAAUCUUUUCGUUUUUCAUACACACACUUACCCGAUAGAUUCUGUGCAUUCUCAAUGGAGCUUAAAGUUUGAAUGAAUUCAAUGUUUAUUUUCCUGCAUGAAGUGCUUUAACAUUCUAAAAACAGGUCGAUGCAUUUACCGACGAGGCAUUCAAGGGAAACCCGGCGGCGGUAUGCUUGCUGGAGGAGGAGAGAGAUGAAGAGUGGUUAAAAGCGGUGGCGCGUGAGUUCAAUUCACCUGUAACUUGUUAUUUGACUCGGCUUACUCACUCUGACUCCGCCAAUGCACCCCUCAUCCCCAGAUUCCUCCUUCGCUGGUUCACCACUGUCUCAGAGGUUUAAUUUUUCAUUUUUCCUUUCAUCCUCUCAACCAUGGACUUUUUAGUUCUACAUUUUGUAGUUCAUGUAAUGCAGCCAUAGUCAUCAAGUAUUGCAUUGUCUAAGAAUUUAAGCUGUUAGAAAGGUCACGACGGUGGUAACUUUUCAGAUUAGUGAUGGUGAAACUUAAAUCUCGGUGUUUUACGUGAAUGUAUCUGAUAACAUAUUAGCCAUUUCAUCGAAAACUUAAAUCUGGGUGUUUCGCUCCGAUAAGCUCCACAAGGUCUUAGUGCAUCGGUGCAGUUUGUGCAUAGACUUUGUUACUUUACAUUAAUUAUUUAUGAUUGCCUUCUUAACGUAUCUUGUAUGGUUGCAUUUUCGAGACCGUGAAUCUUAUGAAUCAAAGUUAAAAGAAACAUUGAAAAGAGCAAAAAGGCUAUGGUUUCAAAGAACUUAAAAACUCGUGUUACAAAAAGAGAAUACGAGAUUUUAAAAAAAAACUAAUAGGCAAAAAGUCUAAUUUAUCCUAACCAAGCUUGUAAAAUGACCCUACUAUCCUUCUAGCAAUCUGAACACAAGUACAAAGACCAUAGCCAUGAAUAUCAAUCUGUAAGAAUACUAGUUGUUUGCAGGUUAAAAUUUGUGGACAUGCAACAUUAGCAGCAUCCCACUUUCUCUUCACAUAUGGUUUAGUAAAUGCUGAUAUGAUUGAGUUUUCGACCCUGUCGGGAUUAUUGACUGCGAAAAGAAUAUCACACGCUAAGGAUUCAGAUUCAUCCCACUUUCAGAAUGGUGGUUCGACAGAGAACUGGUUCAUUGAACUAAACUUUCCGGUCAUCCCAAUAAUGGAAUAUGAUUAUGCGGCUGAUGUUAUGGCAGUUUCAAAAAGCUUGAAUGGUGCUUCGGUGAUGGAGAUCAAGAAGACCACACUAGAAAAUGAUCUCUUUGUGCGUUUUCCAUUUUAUCUUCAUUUAUGACAUGUCUGGUAAGGUGAUUAGACAAUACGGACAUUCUUAUAAGAUUUUUCUUUUGGCAGGUUGUGUUACCAUCAGGGAAGGAAGUAGCAGAAGUAGAACCACAAUUUGAUCAGAUAAAAAACUGCCCAGGUAGAGGAAUUUUAAUUACAGGACCUGCUCCUGCUGGAUCAGGAUAUGACUUUGUUAGUCGCCUUUUCUGCCGAAAAUUAGGCCUGAAUGAGGUAGGAUGCUGUAGUUUGAUUGUGAACCUCUUUGAUCUACUUGCUUUUAUCCAAUGAUUCUACAUUAUAUCGGUACUUUUGAUGCCGAACAUCAGAGUUGUGGAUAUAAUCAGAUUUCUUGGUACGUAUUUUACGUUAUUCAGGAUUAUGUUUGUGGAAGUGCACAUUGUUCCUUGGCGCCGUACUGGAGCAAAAGGCUCGGAAAAUGUGAUUUUGUAGCGUAUCAGGUACUUCCUCUCUCAUGCGCACAGAAUCAAGAAUACAAACAAAUUUUACAUUUUCAAGACGUCUAGUCUUGACCUUGCCAAUUUGUGUGUGAAUUAGGCAUCACCAAGAAGUGCCGUGCUAUAUCUUCAUCUUGAUGAGAAUAAUCAGAGAGUAUUAAUUCGAGGAAAAGCCACCGCGGUGAUGGAAGGUUCUCUCUUGGUUUGAAUGGAAAGUUGUACUUAAACAUUCAAUAAAUGAUCCAAAUGUAUGGUAUUUUUCAUAACAAUAGGCUUUUGUUCAAUUUCGUGCCUAUUGACGUAAAAUUAAUCAAACUUCC